AUCGCUUCUCGGCCUUUUGGCUAAGAUCAAGUGUAGUACAAAUAUCCUACAGGAAUUAACCAAAAUGUGAGGGGACUUGAAAAUAGAAAUAGAAUUUAAAAAUAAGUUUAUUUUGUGACAAUUUUUAAAAAUUCAUGUAUAUGAGGUCUUCACAAAGCUCUAUUAGUGAAAUGGGCAUCUUUU
This is a small nuclear RNA of Oryctolagus cuniculus (rabbit), 183 nucleotides long. Its record names the gene U2. It matches the Rfam family "U2 spliceosomal RNA". Rfam says of the family: U2 is a small nuclear RNA (snRNA) component of the spliceosome (involved in pre-mRNA splicing). Complementary binding between U2 snRNA (in an area lying towards the 5' end but 3' to hairpin I) and the branchpoint sequence (BPS) of the intron results the bulging out of an unpaired adenosine, on the BPS, which initiates a nucleophilic attack at the intronic 5' splice site, thus starting the first of two transesterification reactions that mediate splicing. The record is from Ensembl. NCBI's taxonomy places the organism in Eukaryota, Metazoa, Chordata, Mammalia, Lagomorpha, Leporidae.